RNAcentral lists this ribosomal RNA (1614 nucleotides) under Spirochaetia bacterium. RNAcentral describes it as "partial 23S ribosomal RNA". It matches the Rfam family "Bacterial large subunit ribosomal RNA", at positions 1806 to 2889 of the family's 2925-position model. The record is from RNAcentral. Lineage: Bacteria; Pseudomonadati; Spirochaetota; Spirochaetia.
ACCAAAAACACAGCUCCCUGCGAACUCGUAAGAGGAUGUAUAGGGGGUGACGCCUGACCGAUGCGAGAAGGUUAAAGGUGGGGGUGUCCCCGCAGCAAUGCGGAGUUGCUCACUGCCCGAAGCCCUCGUCAAUGUCAGCAGUAACUAUAACUGUUCUAAGGUGGAAUUCCUGCCUUAGUAAAAUUCGGCUAUAUGCUGGAAUACCCGCGCAUAUUACAAUACUUAAUUUAAGUAACAAUUUGUAAUCGAUGCGGACAAUCAGCAGGAAAGACUAAAAACUUUAAUAAAAUUUUUAGAAUCCUCAGAGACUAUAUGCCGAACUCCGACCACGGUCGGAGAAGAUAUAGUCCGAACUUUAUGGCGACAUAAAGAAUUGUCCAAUCAUGGAAUUUGGGCAGAAUAACAUAUUUGAGCGCAUUUCCUUUUCAGGUAAGUUCUGAAGCGCACGAAAGGCGUAACGACUGGGGGACUGUCUCAACGAGAAGCUCGGUGAAAAUGCGAUUCCCGUGAAGACGCGGGAUACCUGCAACGGGACGAAAAGACCCUAGGAGCUUUACUGUAGCUUGAUAUUGAUUUUAAGAUUUUGAUGCGUAGCGUAGUGGGUAGCCUUCGAAGUGCCGCUUUCGGGCGGCAUGGAGGCAACAAUGAAACACCCAUCUUUAAAAUUUUAAAAUCUAACCUGAACGGCAAAAACGUUCGGGAACAGUGUCUGGCGGGCAGUUUUUCUGGGGCGGAACCCUCCUAAAAAGUAACGGAGGGGUUUAUCAAGGUUGGCUAAGCGCGGAUGGAAAUCGCGCACGUCGUGUAAAGGCACAAGCCAGCUUAACGGCAAGGCUUACAAGCCGCGCCGGUACGAAAGUAGAACUUAGUGACCCGACGGCACUUUAUAGAAAGGCCGAAGAUAACGGAUAAAAGUUACCCUAGGGAUAACAGGCUGGUGUGGUCCGAGAGUCCAUAUCGACGACCACGCUCGGCACCUCGAUGUCGGCUCGCCCUAGCGCCCGGCUGGAGAAGGUCGGAAGCGUUUGGCUGUUCGCCAAUUAAAAGGGCACGCGAGCUGGGUUCAGACCGUCGAGCUCAUAAAACGAAAGUUUUGUGGUCUGGACGGUUUGAGCCCGAGGCAAAAGAAGACAAAAUAAGACAUCAUCACAGCGGCCAUAGAAAGUAAUUUUUAUGGACCACGCUAACUAAUAUCGGUGGAAUCCUAUAAUAAUCCCAUGGGACAAUACCGAGGGAACUUCGACACAGAGACAAAGAGUCGAAGAAAUCCGUAGAGACUAUACGUUAGCCCCGAGCACAUAAAGCGUUAUGUGCGCGGUGAAGAUAUAGUCCAAUGCACUUAGUAAUAAGUGAAAACAUGUGUGAAACAGGUUGGUCUCUAUCUGUUGCAGGCGAUGACGCUUGAGGGAAGUUGACCCUUGUACGAGAGGAUCAGGUUGAACGAACCUCUGGUCUACCGGCUUUGCCACCAGGUGAAGCGCCGGGUAGCUAUGUUCGGAAGGGAUAAGCGCUGAAAGCAUCUAAGCACGAAGCCCCUCCCAAGAUUAGGCGUCGCAGACUCGUGGAAGAUUACCACGUUGAUAGGCUUCAGGUAUAAACGCAGCAAUGCGUGAA